This is a small nucleolar RNA of Conger conger (European conger), 135 nucleotides long. RefSeq annotates it as small nucleolar RNA SNORA28. Lineage: Eukaryota; Metazoa; Chordata; Actinopteri; Anguilliformes; Congridae. The record is from RefSeq and is a predicted model, not a curated record. The transcript has a single exon.
AAGCUACACUCUGUGUCAAAAGUUGGAAACAACAAUGAUUUGGCUCAAUUUAAGCUUGCUAAAGUAAACUACGGUCUGACCUAAUUCAGCACUCUCUUCGCCAAUGGGAUUUGCUAUAAUGCAGACUGUAACAUA